This 78-nucleotide transfer RNA is filed under the name Methanomassiliicoccales archaeon PtaU1.Bin124. Its description in RNAcentral is "tRNA-Pro". It matches the Rfam family "tRNA". Rfam says of the family: Transfer RNA (tRNA) molecules are approximately 80 nucleotides in length. Their secondary structure includes four short double-helical elements and three loops (D, anti-codon, and T loops). Lineage: Archaea; Methanobacteriati; Thermoplasmatota; Thermoplasmata; Methanomassiliicoccales. The record is from RNAcentral.
GGGUCUGUGGGGUAGCAUGGUUUAUCCUAGGCGGUUCGGGACCUCUUGACCCCGGUUCAAAUCCGGGCAGACCCACCA